AUAUCAAUAAGCGGAGGAAAAGAAAAUAACAAUGAUUUCCCCAGUAACGGCGAGUGAAGAGGAAAGAGCUCAAAGUUGGAACCUGUUUGGCUUAGCUAAACCGGAUUGUAAACUGUAGAAGUGUUUUCCUGACACGCCUGGUAAAAAAGUCCUUUGGAACAGGGCAUCAUAGAGGGUGAGAAUCCCGUCUUUGGCCAGAGCUGUUGUCUUUUGUGAUACAUUUUCAAAGAGUCAGGUUGUUUGGGAAUGCAGCCUAAAUUGGGUGGUAAAUCUCACCUAAAGCUAAAUAUUUGCGAGAGACCGAUAGCGAACAAGUACCGUGAGGGAAAGAUGAAAAGAACUUUGAAAAGAGAGUUAAACAGUAUGUGAAAUUGUUAAAAGGGAACCGUUUGGAGCCAGACUGGCUUGACUGUAAUCAAUCUAGGCUUCGGCCUGGAUGCACUUGCGGUCUAUGCCUGCCAACGACAGUUUUAUUUGGGGGAAAAAAUUAUUGGGAAUGUGGCCUUUCGAGGUGUUAUAGCCCUUUAAAAAAUACCCUGGAUUGGACUGAGGAACGCAGUGAAUGCCUUUAGGCAAGAUUGCUGGGUGCUUUCGCUAAUAAAUGCUAGAAUUUCUGCUUCGGGUGGUGCUAGUGUUUAAAGGUGGAACUCGCUUAGUAUAUUUUUUAUUCGCUUAGGUUGUUGGCUUAAUGACUCUAAAUGA
This 702-nucleotide ribosomal RNA is filed under the name uncultured fungus. RNAcentral's name for it is "eukaryotic LSU rRNA". It matches the Rfam family "Eukaryotic large subunit ribosomal RNA", at positions 40 to 647 of the family's 3401-position model. Lineage: Eukaryota; Fungi. The record is from RNAcentral.